RNAcentral lists this ribosomal RNA (892 nucleotides) under Perga condei. RNAcentral's name for it is "SSU rRNA". It matches the Rfam family "Eukaryotic small subunit ribosomal RNA", at positions 594 to 1420 of the family's 1831-position model. Lineage: Eukaryota; Metazoa; Arthropoda; Insecta; Hymenoptera; Pergidae. The record is from RNAcentral.
AUAGCGUAUAUUAAAGUUGUUGCGGUUAAAAAGCUCGUAGUUGAAUCUGUGUCCCACGCUGCCGGUUCACCGCUCGCGGUGUUCAACUGGCAUGAUUGUGGUACGUCCUACCGGUGGGCUUAGCCCCCCAAAAGGGGCGGCCCAACUUGUAUCCCAUCGCGGUGCUCUUCACCGAGUGUCGAGGUGGGCCGGUACGUUUACUUUGAACAAAUCAGAGUGCUUAAAGCAGGCCGUUCUCGCCUGAAUACUGUGUGCAUGGAAUAAUGGAAUAGGACCUCGGUUCUAUUUUGUUGGCUUUCGGAACCCCGAGGUAAUGAUUAAUAGGAACAGAUGGGGGCAUUCGUAUUGCGACGUUAGAGGUGAAAUUCUUGGAUCGUCGCAAGACGGACAGAAGCGAACGCAUUUGCCAAAAAUGUUUUCCUUAAUCAAGAACGAAAGUUAGAGGUUCGAAGGCGAUCAGAUACCGCCCUAGUUCUAACCAUAAACGAUGCCAGCUAGCGAUCCGCCGAAGUUCCUCCGAUGACUCGGCGGGCAGCUUCCGGGAAACCAAAGCUUUUGGGUUCCGGGGGAAGUAUGGUUGCAAAGCUGAAACUUAAAGGAAUUGACGGAAGGGCACCACCAGGAGUGGAGCCUGCGGCUUAAUUUGACUCAACACGGGAAACCUCACCAGGCCCGGACACCGGAAGGAUUGACAGAUUGAGAGCUCUUUCUUGAUUCGGUGGGUGGUGGUGCAUGGCCGUUCUUAGUUGGUGGAGCGAUUUGUCUGGUUAAUUCCGAUAACGAACGAGACUCUAGCCUGCUAAAUAGGCGUACUUACCGGUAUCUCGAAGGCCCCCGGCCUCGGUCGCGGGGUUUUUACUACCGGCGUACAAAUAAAUCUUCUUAGAGGGAC